AAAUAAUAAUAUGCAGAAAAUUGAAGACGAUAAAGAAAAAAUGGACCUGACUUGUAGAUAUAAAAGGAGCGCUCGCCUGGUUGCUCUCCAGAAUGUAGGAAAAAAAAGAAGAAGAAAAAAUAGUAGUAGUAGCAAUAGUAGUAGUAGUAGCAGUAGUAGCAGCAGCAGCAGCAGUAGUAGUAGCAGCAGUACUAGUAGUAGUAACUGUAACAGUAGUAGCAAUAACAACAACAAUAGCAAUAGUAGUAACAGCAGCAGCAGUACAGUAGUAGCAACAGCAACAGUAGUAGUAAUAAUAGUAGUAACAACAGUAGUAGUAGUAAUAAUAACAGU
This 333-nucleotide long non-coding RNA is filed under the name Carica papaya (papaya). RNAcentral describes it as "long non-coding RNA (CPAP_LNC002658)". The record is from RNAcentral. Lineage: Eukaryota; Viridiplantae; Streptophyta; Magnoliopsida; Brassicales; Caricaceae.